UCUCCCUUCUUACGUUUUAAGCUUCCCGAAAUUCACUUUCAUUCGCUAUUCUUACCACCCAAACCCUCACCCUCUCUCUCUCUCUCUCUCUCUCUCUCUCUCUCUGCCGUCCGAUUCCCCGCCCGACGUUAUCAGACCGUCGGACUUCUGAUUCUCGUUCCCAAUCUCCGCCGCUGAUCUUCCUGAACCCGAAUUCCCGAUCCCCGCUUCUCGAUUCCCGACAUCUCUGAAAGAAAAGGCACCAUGGCGGAAGGCAAGCUCGAUCUGCCAGACGAUCUGCUUUCCUCGAAAUCACCUGGCGAUCCGUGGGCCCCAAAGGAAUCCUCAGAUGAUGCUGCUCGAGUAAACGAUGAUGAAAAGGCGCUUAUGGGUUUCUUUGAUGACUCCAAAGAUCAAGUAACAUCAGAGAGCAAUAUACCACUGUCUCCUCAAUGGCUGUAUGCUAAGCCUAGUGAUAUUAAGACCGGUCUUUCUGCUUCAUCAGGGGAUAUGCGUGCACCAAAUUCCUUGCCUCAUGGAAUCGCUGUGGAUACUGUUCAGAAAGAGGGGUGGCGCUUGGAUGGAUCUCAGGAAAAGAAAGAAUGGCGAAGGAAUGCACCUGAGGCUGAAACUAAUCGCCGUUGGCGUGAGGAGGAGAGAGAAACUGGCUUACUUGGUAGGAGAGACCGCAGAAAAGAGAGUGAUCGCCGUGCUGACAGUGCUUCAAUUAGAGAAAUCACUGAAAGUAGGCCCUUGCCUUCAUCUGAUAGGUGGCAUGACGUCAGUAGUCGUAAUUCUGGGCAUGAAACCCGGCGAGACAGCAAAUGGUCAUCAAGGUGGGGUCCAGAGGACAAAGAGAAGGAUUCUCGAGCUGAUAAAAAGGUGGACGGAGAGAAGGAAGAUGCUCAUAACGAAAAGCAAUCCUUUAUAAGCAGCACUCGUGCAGCUUCUGAACGUGAAAAUGAUUCUCGUGACAAAUGGAGGCCACGCCAUCGUCAAGAAGUUCAUUCAGGUGGGUCGGCGGUUUACCGUGCUGCGCCAGGAUUUGGGCUUGAGAGAGGAAGGGUGGAGGGUUCGAAUCUAGGGUUUGCUCCAGGACGAGGGAGGCCAAACACUGUUGGGAGCCCGUCACUCAGCAGGCCUUCCUCGUCAGGACCUAUAGGUGCUGCACCAGCAGAUAAGAAUGACCCUGGACAUGGGAAGGCUGGUUUGUCUGCAGAUACAUUUUGCUACCCGAGGGGAAAGCUUCUUGACAUUUAUAGGAGACACAAGCUUCUUCCCGCUUUUGAUAUCACCCCUGAUGGGAUUGAGGAAGCUCCUCCAAUAACUCAAAUAGGCUUGAUAGAGCCAUUGGCCUUUGUUGCUCCUGAUGCAGAGGAGGAGGCUGUCCUAGAAGAUAUGUGGAAGGGGAAAGUCACCAGCAGUGGAGUGUCUCACAAUCUGACAAUAGACAGUGUGGGGAAGGUCCAUGAUGAUGAGACAGGUGUUGCAGACGGGAUUUCGACUGAGAGCAAACAAUGCAUAUUCCCAGCUAGUAGCACUGAAGAGGCUGCAAAUGAUUCCAAUCUGGCAGAAUGUGACAAUAAACUUACUGCUACAGUUGAUGUAAUGACUUCCGGAGGCUUUACUUCAGAAGUUCGAAAGGGUGAUGACAUCUGCAAUAUCAGAGAGCUGGACAGUAGCCUGAUGAUCAUUUCUGAAAACAAAGCUGGUCAAACUAGCAUUGUGAACGGUGAUGGGCAAGCUGAAAGUUCUACUUCUUUCAAGCCCCUCAAGUUCAAAGAUGUUGAGUCAGCCACUUCUUUUGAUAUUCGUACCAAGCUACCUGAUGAUUCAAAUUUACUAUUUGAUCCUCUAUCUUCCCCAGAGAUUUCUGGUAAUGAGCAGUAUGUGAAGAGUAAUGGUGAAGCAAAGGUGUUGGAACAGGUUGCCCCGCCUGAGGAGAUGAGUUUGUUUUACCGGGACCCACAAGGAGAGAUACAAGGACCUUUUUUAGGUGUCGACAUUAUUUCAUGGUUUGAACAAGGUUUUUAUGGUACCGACUUGCCCGUGUGUCUAUCAGAUGCUCCUGAGGGAACCCCUUUUCAGGAACUCGGGGAAGUCAUGCCACAUUUGAAACUUAAAGUUCAUUCAGUCUCUGGUUUUAACACUGUUAAUAAACCAUACCCAUCUGAUUCCGUUGAAGGCACCUCGGACACUAGUGCACUUGCACCUGAUUUUACCACAUCUACUGCUGUAACUGACCAACAAUGGGCAUCUUCUGAAUUUGAGGCUCCAUCACGCCAGCCUGUUCAGCCAAGAAUAUCCAAACGGGAGGAUCCAUUGGAACCACAUUAUGCUAUUUUGCCACCCAUAGAUUCUGAAACUUCAAGAGGCAUUGUCAAUGCUGAGAGGCGGAACUUUCAUGAGUUUGUUGAACAUGAUACUGAAGAAGUGCUGUUUUCUGGGCGCCAUGGGAGUAACAGUGGAAAUCCUGUAGCAAAACUGGCUGGUAACCUUCACGAUCCAUUAGGGAACCCUACCAGCCACCAUCUUCAAGCAAAUGAAUUGGGAGAAAAUAGCAUGCUUAAUCAUAAUGUCUUAAAGGAUAAUAAUAAUAAUUUCCAUCCCUUUGGCCUGUUGUGGUCAGAGCUGGAAGGGCCUCAUCCGAAGCUGUCACAUUCGUCAAAUAUGUCAUCUGGUGUUGGCGAACAAGGGCCCCUCAUUAAUACAGCCAUGGAAAGAGAUGCUGCUCUUUUCAAUCGUAAGCAGAAUUCUGUAAGUGCAUUAGCUGACUCCCCUAUUGUCAGGGAGACAUGGCCCGAUAGUUUUAGAAGAAAUGCACUUGCUGGCUCAAAUAUUCUUCAGGAUGUGGUGGAUGCCCGCCACUUGUCACACAUGGAGCAAGAAUCCAACCGGUUCGAUUUAGCGGAGCACAUGCUGUCUCAACAGUUGCUGCAAAAACAACGCCUUCAACAGCAAGAUCUACUCUCUACUCAUCCGUCAAUGCACUUGAAUGGGUCCGUUCUAGAGCAGUUGGCAGGCUCUGCCUUACCACAGAGCUUGAAUCCUGCUCACCAGCAGUCGAUGAGUCAACCCAUGGUAGAUUUCGAACAUCUUUUGAAGCUUCAAUUUCAACAGCAGCGGCAACUUCAGCUCCAACAACAACAUGAUUUGCAGCAGCAACAACGGCAACAGCUUCAUCAUCAUCACCAAAUGCAAUUACAGCAGCAGCAGCAGCAGCAGCAGUCUCAUGUUCAACAGCUUCUUCUUGAACAGUUUUUGCAUCAACAGAUGCAUGAUCCUGGCUUUGCCCAUUCACGUGUUGAUCCCCUCAGGAGCAACAACAUGCUUGAUCAAGGCCUAUUUAGGCAGCACCUUCUACAUGAACUGCAACAACAUUCUCAUCCUCCUCUACGACCCCAUGAUCCCUCCAUAGAGCAGUUCAUUCAAUCGAAAUUCGGCCACAGCUUACAUCCUGAGCAGCACAACGAACUUUUGGAGCUACUAUCACAUGCAAAGCAUGGACAGAUGCAUCCUCUGGAUCAGCAGCUUCUUUUGGGUAUUCAGCAAGAGCAACUGCGUGCGCAGCAGUUCUCCACAUCAUCGAGGUUGCAACCAUCCUUGGAAGAAGAGAGGCAUGUUGGUGGAGUCUGGUCUGUUGAUGAAUCUGGUCAGUUCGUCAGGACAGCUGCUAAUUCUCACCAAACUCAGUCUGCAGGAUUUAGCCCCUUAGACUUUUACCAGCAGAAGCAGAGGCCGUCUUCAUAUGAACAACCAAGCAGUCUCGAGCGGAACCUUGCCUUACAUGAACGCUUGCAUCGAGGCAUUUACGAACCAAGCUCACUGCCCUUUGAGAGGCCAAUCCCUUUGCAUGGUGCUGCUCCUGGGAGGAACUUGGACGUUUUUAACACUCUUGCACGGGUUCAAGAGCUGGAUAUACAGGAACACCAUUCUCAAAUGCACUCGCCUGGUCAGAUGAGUUCUUUCUCGUCUGACAUCCGCUCACUUCACCCUCAAAUCCCUAACCAGUUUCAUGCAUCUCAUCUAGAUUCAAUGGAUGGUGGCUUGACUGAGCGCAAUGGGCAGCCACCAAAUGAAUGGAUUGAAUCACGGAUGCGUCAGUUGCAUCUUGAAGCUGAGCGAAGAAAGAGGGAGUCAGAAAUGAAUCUCAUCUCAGAAGAUGUAAGUUCAUGGGCAUCAGCAAUGGGAAAUGGUGAAAACUCAAAGCGAGUGAUGAUGGACUUGCUUCAUCAAAAACUUGUCCAUCCUUCUAACCAGUCAUUAGAAUUGAACGAAAGUAAUACUACUUCAUCCUAUGAAAGGAGGGAACCUUCUCGGCUUGUUUCUGCAUCUGCUUCAGAUCAUCCUUACAAUCUUCUCAUGGGUCAGACAUACUUGACCGAUUCAUUUGCGGAAGGGCCUCAAGGUCAUAAUUUAGUGAAUGCGGGGCCAGAACAAUUGGUUAAUGCAGUCAUGGAGGAGCAAGCUCACACCGUGGAGAGUAGUGAAAGGUUACCUUACAGAUCAAAUUCUGGAGCAUUCAUUGAAGAUGAGCAGUUCUUCCCAGGUAUCAAUGAGACAGCCCGGACCAUCUAUGCAGAUCCUAGCAUGGUCAGUAAGCCAUCAGUUGAAAGAGUGGACUUAUCAGAGGCAAAAGAGGGAAAGAAGGGGAAGAAGAGGGGCUCUAAAAGCAAGGUAGUGAAUAAGCCAGUUACAGAAGCUCAAGAAAGUAUUGUUGAGCUGGCAGGAGGUGCUGUUACAGACCGAGGGAAGCUUCUCGUUAAUGCCCCUAUUAGGAAUGCUUCACUUGUUAGUCCUGGAGGAAGUGUUGGCUUCUACAACUAUGACACGGGAGUGGAUAGUGCCUAUGGUGAAGAAUCGGCGAAGGAUAGGGUAUCCUCUAUCCUUUCCAAAGGUCUUGACAGCACUUUGCUGAAAUCCCCACAUGUCUCGCGGGUUUUAUCAUCCCAGGAGGCUUUAUCUGAGUUGGCCUCCACUCCAUCUGUCAAAGGGAAGAAUCAGAUCAACCUUGCAUCUUCCGAUGAAAAAAGGACAAAAACUUCCAGCAGCAAGUGACCCUCUCGUCAGUCUGCAGCAUGGCAGACUGAUACAAAAGUGCUGGAUGUUCUCAAGGGGAACCCCACGAAACCCACACCCACCAAAAUAAGGCCUCAAAGACAAUGUGCUGCUAGAAAUGACCUGUCUCCCAAAAGUACUAAUACAGAAUUCUUUUGUUGGCAGUCCUGGUGGUCAAAUCAUGACUAAAAUUCUUUUCUUUAGGGAUUCAAUCUAUGCCACUGUCCUCUAAAACUGUUCCAUUUAUUCCCCUUCCACAAACCCCACAUGAUCCUCAAGAUCUUCCUUUGGUCUUUAAAUGGCCCACAGACUUGUUGAGAUUCCAAGUGAUACUGAUUCGAGCCAAAAAGUUCCAAAUUGCUUUCACCAUUGUACAAUCGAUGACAAAAGGGAAGACGGGAUCACAGUGUAAAUCCAGCGACUCAGGCAUCUGAAACCACAGCCUCCAUCAAGAAAGAAAUGCGUUUCCGCCGGACCUCGUCUUGCAGUGAUACGGAUACAUCUGAGC
Molecule: RNA transcript, 5545 nt
Organism: Magnolia sinica
Lineage: Eukaryota; Viridiplantae; Streptophyta; Magnoliopsida; Magnoliales; Magnoliaceae
Exons: 12
Source: RefSeq, a predicted model, not a curated record